AAUAGAAUGGCCAUCUGCCAUUCACUACAACCACUGAAUCAAAACCCUAAUGCCCCAUGUUUUCCCCUCAUUUAACCGACAAAAGAACCAAAACCUUAGAUCCUUUUGAUUCUCAUUAGGUUUAACCGGAAAAAAACUCAUUAAUCGCCAUGACACCACUGUAUUUGAUGAUUGGCGACGAGUAUAUGCCCCUCUUUUACCCCGUUUAAAACCACAACUUGUGGACUGCUGAUUUUAAUUCUGAAAUCCCAUCUCAAGCUCCGAUUGCGACGAAGGAGAUAGGGACCCCGACGGUGGAGAUAGGGACCCCGACGGUGUACUUACGAAGAGGGGAAGACCUGGUGGCCAUGCGUGGGAACCACUCGUGGGAGUCCUAAUCUGCUAUUGUUCUAGCGUUUUCCAGAAACCAUUAGGGUUUCUGGUAUCCUCUGUUAUUGGGCCUUUUUCGGGUUAUUUUUGGGUCUCGAGUUUGGGCCUGAAAUUUUGUAAAUGGGUUUGGAUUUAAUUUAGGCCCGAAAUUUUGUAAACGGAUUAGGUCUGGGUUUUAAUAUUUGGGCUGAACUGUAAAUGGACUUUGGACCUAUAAAUAAUUUAGUUUAUUAUUUUUGUUUAA
Molecule: long non-coding RNA, 613 nt
Organism: Gossypium arboreum
Lineage: Eukaryota; Viridiplantae; Streptophyta; Magnoliopsida; Malvales; Malvaceae
Exons: 2
Source: RefSeq, a predicted model, not a curated record